RNAcentral lists this ribosomal RNA (472 nucleotides) under uncultured bacterium. RNAcentral describes it as "bacterial SSU rRNA". It matches the Rfam family "Bacterial small subunit ribosomal RNA", at positions 355 to 825 of the family's 1533-position model. The record is from RNAcentral.
UGGGGAAUAUUGGACAAUGGGCGAAAGCCUGAUCCAGCCAUGCCGCGUGUGUGAAGAAGGUCUUCGGAUUGUAAAGCACUUUAAGUUGGGAGGAAGGGCAGUAAGUUAAUACCUUGCUGUUUUGACGUUACCGACAGAAUAAGCACCGGCUAACUCUGUGCCAGCAGCCGCGGUAAUACAGAGGGUGCAAGCGUUAAUCGGAAUUACUGGGCGUAAAGCGCGCGUAGGUGGUUUGUUAAGUUGGAUGUGAAAUCCCCGGGCUCAACCUGGGAACUGCAUUCAAAACUGACAAGCUAGAGUAUGGUAGAGGGUGGUGGAAUUUCCUGUGUAGCGGUGAAAUGCGUAGAUAUAGGAAGGAACACCAGUGGCGAAGGCGACCACCUGGACUGAUACUGACACUGAGGUGCGAAAGCGUGGGGAGCAAACAGGAUUAGAUACCCGCGUAGUCCCUGAGCGGGCUGGCAAGGCGCAU